This 460-nucleotide ribosomal RNA is filed under the name uncultured bacterium. RNAcentral describes it as "partial 16S ribosomal RNA". It matches the Rfam family "Bacterial small subunit ribosomal RNA", at positions 338 to 795 of the family's 1533-position model. The record is from RNAcentral.
CCUACGGGUGGCAGCAGUGAGGAAUAUUGGUCAAUGGACGCAAGUCUGAACCAGCCAAGCCGCGUGCAGGAAGACUGCCCUAUGAGUUGUAAACUGCUUUUGUACGAGGGUAAACGCAGAUACGCGUAUCUGUCUGAAAGUAUCGUACGAAUAAGGAUCGGCUAACUCCGUGCCAGCAGCCGCGGUAAUACGGAGGAUUCAAGCGUUAUCCGGAUUUAUUGGGUUUAAAGGGUGCGUAGGCGGGCGGUUAAGUUAGAGGUGAAAGUCCGAGGCUCAACUUCGGAAUUGCCUCUGAUACUGGUCGGCUAGAGAAUAGUUGCGGUAGGCGGAAUGUAUGGUGUAGCGGUGAAAUGCUUAGAGAUCACACAGAACACCGAUUGCGAAGGCAGCUUACCAAGCUGCUUCUGACGUUGAGGCACGAAAGUGUGGGGAUCAAACAGGAUUAGAUACCCCUGUAGUC